UCGACCUACGGGGGGCAGCAGUGAGGAAUAUUGGUCAAUGGCCGGAAGGCUGAACCAGCCAAGUCGCGUGAGGGACGACUGCCCUAUGGGUUGUAAACCUCUUUUAUAAGGGAAGAAUAAAUGCUACGUGUAGCAUGAUGCCUGUAACUUAUGAAUAAGGAUCGGCUAACUACGUGCCAGCAGCCGCGGUCAUACGUAGGAUCCGAGCAUUAUCCGGAGUGACUGGGUGUAAAGAGUUGCGUAGGUGGCAUAGUAAGUAGCUAGUGAAAUCUGGUGGCUCAACCAUUCAGACUAUUAGCUAAACU
RNAcentral lists this ribosomal RNA (305 nucleotides) under uncultured bacterium. RNAcentral describes it as "bacterial SSU rRNA". It matches the Rfam family "Bacterial small subunit ribosomal RNA", at positions 332 to 634 of the family's 1533-position model. The record is from RNAcentral.